Long non-coding RNA from Aethalodelphis obliquidens (Pacific white-sided dolphin), 2834 nucleotides. RefSeq lists it as uncharacterized. The transcript has 6 exons. The record is from RefSeq and is a predicted model, not a curated record. Lineage: Eukaryota; Metazoa; Chordata; Mammalia; Artiodactyla; Delphinidae.
UGAUGUCUUCUUUGGAAAACUGUUUAGUUCUCUGUCCAUCUAAAAAUUGGAUUGUUUUUUGUUAUUGAGUUGUAUGGGUUUUUAAAAAUAUAUAUUUCAGUUUGGCAUGUACUUCAGUGAUUAGAAUGAAAUCCCCCAAGAACAGUAUCUGUAGCCUUCCUCACAUAUUGCUAGUAAAGUGCCAAGGACUCCAGAGAAAGCGCACUAAAAUUUUGUAGUAUGAAAUACCUUUUAUACCUAUAAAGGUAUGACGUAACUCUACCAUAGAGUGGGUGUGGACCAUAGAGAGCUCCUGGAGGCCCUCGGGGCUCAGGAAAUAACCUUUCAGUGGGAUACAAAAAGCAAGGAAAGCGGGGAAGACUGAGAGAUGACAAUCUCCAACCAUAUGAAUUUACUUCUCCUUCCUGGGCUUUUUGGAAUUGGGAAAGAUUUGUAGAUGUGGAACCACAGGUGUCACAACAAUAUGGCCCAGAGAUCCUGGGAAGGCAGCUCCUGUAGCAGGAUCUGCCUGCGAGACUAGAUUCCCUCUGUGUCAGCAGAGGGAAGAAUUGGUAGACAGGUCUAAGUUCUGUCCACUCACUGAAGACCCUGAUUGAAGGUCUAAGUCCUGACUUUUGAGGCAACCUCCAUCUGUAGGCUUUACAUGUGAGAGGUGGCCCGAAAUCCUGCACAUCUCAUAUUGGUCAUGCAUAUGCCACUGUGUUUUCUGACUACUGAAAUAUAAUAAAACAGUGGUCACAGUGUUUACCCUUUAUUUAUGAUUUAAAAUAUUUCCAGGAAUUUUAGAAUUUGGAGAAUAUAUUACUGCCCAGCAAUAUUCCUUGAAACAAAAAUCUAAGGGAAUUUAUAAAAAUUUGCCUGGAUCUUUGCCUAACAAAUGCAAUGGGAGAAAGGCUAGUGCAAAAAUCAGGCAAGUUUCUGUCCCAUACACACAGAGAGGCUGCCGAUACCACCGCACAUAGAGUGUAUGUUGUGAGCAGCUUUCUGAGUUGCAGGAGGGCUUAUAUGAUCCAUAUACGCUAUUGUCCUUAUUACUUAAGAGGCAUUCGUGCAUCCAGCCAGCCAGAAAUUUACUGGAUAUCUACUCCAUGUCGGGCACUCAGAUUAUACAGAUUGUUGUUAAGACAUGGUCCUUUAUUCUCAAUUAGCUGAUAUUCCACUAGAGGGAGCCAAAUAUAUAAAUAAGCACAAUAACCGUGUUGAAAGUGCUGGCAUCGGAGUCUGGGCAGAAGGUGUGUGUGUGAGGUGGGGAGGGUAACAGAAGGAACUGGACAAAUCUGCCCCAGGAUGGGUCAGGAAAAGUCUUCAUAGGAAAGGUGUCCCUGAGCAGUGUUUCUGAGGCUUCUUACCCAGAAUAAGGAGGCUGCUGAGGUGAGCACGGAACUGUGAGGCUUCUGUGUGAAGCUAACUGGAGAGACGGAAGAUGAGACCUCUGGCCUGAGCCUUUUGACUGUUGCACGUGGACACCACAGAGAACGGCACACACAUCAUCAAAGCCUGAGCCACGUGCAAGUGAUGUCUGGCGAUAUUUGAGGUUGGACCAAAUGAUGUUUUCCUGGGAGAAGCAGAACACGCCGAGCCGGCCUCCACGCAUGGUGGUGUCUAUGGUGACCCCCGAGUCGGCCACCAACUCGGAGCCUUCAUAAAACUGCACCCUGCGGACAACACAGCCAGAGCGGGUCUCCGUGAACCUGGAUCGUGCUCCCGCUGCUGUGUUCCCCUUUCCCUACGAGACUGGAACCUCCAUGAGGUCAGGGACCACCCGUCCACAUCUCCCCUCUUCCGUCUCUCCAAAGGCCUAGCAUGAUGCUGGGCACCGAGUUCAACUCGCUGGGUACUCGCUGAUGAGUUAAAGAGAAAUCACAAUACGACUCAGGACCAAGAGGCUUUCUGACUUCACUGUCCAGUGGUUGACUCUGCAGAUACUGAGCCGCUGAUACGGAAGGCCGACUGUGGGACUGGAGCAUCUGCAGAUCUUUAUCCCUGGCGGGGUCCUGGAACUGAUCCCCUGAAUUGCUCAAAGUCCUACAGGGAAAUAAGGCAGAUUACAUCGGCUCACAUGAAGGUCAGUUCAUGCCGAGGGUGGGACGUGCCGUCACUGUGUCAGGCACUGGGGAGACCAAGAUAAAAUGAGACAUGGGUGCUGCCCUCGUGGAGUUUAUCAGGCCGUGAGGGACUCACUGCAGCGUGAAAUGUUUGUGGAAACUAUCGGAUCCAGCCUAUACUUUGAUGAUAGUCACCUAUAUGUUCCGGAAGCUAUACAGGAACAAACGUCCUCCCUCACGGCCUGUGAGGCUCCAGAGUUGUGCUCCAGAGGUGCUAUGCACACAGACCACAAUACGAGGCCCCUUCAGUGGCCCCUGAAGCUGGGUGAUGUAGCCGCCCUGCCUGACAGCUCUUCCCAGGCUCCUGGGAAAUGCCCGAGUCUCUGCGGGAGGAGCCUGACCCAGAGCUGCAGCCCAUGACCCUGCUCAGCCCUUCUACCUCAAUCCUCCACUUCCAGGACGCUUAUGCAUGAGAAGGAUGGUGGGGAGGGAGGAAAGCUGCAGUCUGGGAAGACAGAUGCCCUACAGAGUCACAUCCCUGACAAGACACUGCUCGAAGGGAUUCCUGCAAAGUUUCUGGCAAUGAUAUCGAGUUCCCAGAACACCAGGGUUCUUCUUCCACAGAAACAAGUGGGCCUUGGGGCCACCAGGCACAGGCCAUGUGGAACCCCCUGGAGCGGAAAGGCCCUCAGAGUCAGUCAUUCUAUUCCUGCUCCUAAGAGAGAACAAGGGGAAAAAGGACAAAUGAGUCCCAAGUAAAAGACUAAGCAAGACACACCCACCAUCUCC